Small nuclear RNA from Myripristis murdjan (pinecone soldierfish), 186 nucleotides. Its record names the gene U2. It matches the Rfam family "U2 spliceosomal RNA". From Rfam's summary of the family: U2 is a small nuclear RNA (snRNA) component of the spliceosome (involved in pre-mRNA splicing). Complementary binding between U2 snRNA (in an area lying towards the 5' end but 3' to hairpin I) and the branchpoint sequence (BPS) of the intron results the bulging out of an unpaired adenosine, on the BPS, which initiates a nucleophilic attack at the intronic 5' splice site, thus starting the first of two transesterification reactions that mediate splicing. Lineage: Eukaryota; Metazoa; Chordata; Actinopteri; Holocentriformes; Holocentridae. The record is from Ensembl.
AUAGCUCCCAGCCUUUUGGCUAAGAUUAAGGGUAGUGUCUAUUACUAGUGUAAUAUCUGAUAUGUCCUCUGCAGGGGGACGACACAUUAAGCGGAUUUUUAGGACCAGGAGUUGAAUUCUCUCUCUGGACUGUAUCAUGUACACUGGACCCAAGGGAAGGCACUGGAGCACUUGGUCAAUUAAUGU